This 5729-nucleotide long non-coding RNA is filed under the name Equus caballus (horse). Its description in RNAcentral is "lncRNA (ENSECAG00000045949.1)". Lineage: Eukaryota; Metazoa; Chordata; Mammalia; Perissodactyla; Equidae. The record is from RNAcentral.
AUCCUGGCUGAAUGGAAUACCUAGGAAGUGGCUGCUCACCUGAAAAGGGCAGCUGUAAAUCAGAGCCUGGUGCAACCCUGGCAGCUCAGCAGGGAGUGUGUCCCCUGCCCGCACCAAGGCCUUCUCCGCUCUGGGGGUUGCAGAGAGCAGUAGAGAGCAGCCUAGCUCCAGGCCUCUAGCAGAGCUGCCAUUCAGAGAAACAAAGCUCAGGUCCCCGGCCCCUCCAGCCUGGACCAGGCUACCUGUCCCCCACCUCCUGCAAGGCUCUGGGCUCUAGGCUGCUAAGAGCAGCACCCCCCCCCCCCACCCCUCCCUAGAAGUUGAGCUGCUGACCUGGCAGAGGCUCCUUCCUAUCUGGCUUCUCUGAGCCCUUGGAGGUUGUCCUGGUCACCCAGAUUGGGAGUGCAAGGCUGAGGGGACGAGUUGCCCCAGGGGAGAGGCUGCUUCAGUUCCAUUCCAGAAGGUGCCUCCUCCUCCCCGUCCGCACAGCCUGUGCUUUCCUGUGCACCUUUGCAGGCAUAGACCUUGGAGCAUAAACCACAGAGUAUCCAUUGAACCUUGCGUGCCCUCAGUCCAGCCUCCUCUGACAGAAGACCUGAGAUGCAGAGGAGGGACAUGACCUGUCCCCCGCCAAACACAUUUUGGGGCUGGCUCCUGGCAGGGCUGGGCCUGGGAGCUGGGUCUCUUGCUGCCUAGCCCAGAGCUCAUUCUGUUCACCUGUACUUCCUCCAGUGCGGCUGCCUCGUGUCGUGUCCUCACCCCUGUCCCUUUGGCCGUUAGCCUCCGUCUGCCUUUCUCAGCCCUUGAGAGAGGCAGGUGGGCUCGGCAGAGGGGGCAGUCAGAAGCUGGCAGGAGCCAGGCCUCUGUCCCUUCCCCACAUUUGGCCACAUCUGGGCGGCCUAGCCCCAGACUUGGCAUUCUUGUGAGCUGCUGCAGGAGCCACACCGCCCAGAAGCCAAGGGGCGAGACGCUCAGGCGCCCUGCCAGGAUAGGGAACGGAGGCUCCCUGGGUGCACCGCUUCCUGAGGCGGCUGGCCUCGGACAAUUUAGUCUCUCCCUCUGUGCCUCAGUGUCUUCAUCUCCAAAAGGGGAUCAUAAUUUGGCUGGGAAGAUUGAGUGAAGGAACACCUGUAAAGUGCCUGGCACAGCGUCUGGCAAAGGGAGACAUCUGUCAGUGUUAGUUUGUCCUUCUGCCUUCUCCUUGUGGGGAAAGUUUGUCACAAGGAGAAAAUGCUUACGGGGAGCCUGUCCUGAAGGGGCCGGCCAGGCUGGACCACCCCAGCUCACACGCGCUCUCCUUGUUGUCUGGGUCUAUCUCGCUGGGCUGGGGAGUACCCGCAUCCCUGCUGCUUGCCAGUGGCCAAGACGGUAAAAUCCUGGGACCACACAGCAGGAAUUGCCCCCUUCCCACUGGUGCCACCUCUGGCCUCGUCACCCUUCUUAUGGACUGUUGCAGCAGUCUCCCUACUGCCCUCUCAGCGUCACCCACUCUGCCCAGAGGGCACUUGCCAGCCCACGCAUUCUGUCCUCACUCUCUGCUGCUUGAGAGGUGGCACCCCAGCUUCAGAACUGGUCCCGAGGCUCCAUCAGCCCCUGCCCUGUAUACCUCUGUGCUGGGGACUACCUCAGUGUCCUCAUCUGGGAGUUGUUGGGAGAAUCCCUUACCGGCACCCACUGUGCCCAAGACAGAAUUACUUCCCUUAUCCUGUCACUGCGGCAGCACUUGUCACAGUGCAUCAGCAUUUGUGGGUCAUCUGUCUGUCUCUCCCAGGAGACAGCAUGGGGCCGGGCCCCCAGUCCACGUCCAGACCCCCCAGGGCCUCCUUCAGGACCUGACACUUGAUCAUGCUCAGCUCCAACCACCAUCUGCAAACAGCCACUUCAUGACUGCUUUCUAAGCAGGAGGAGGAGGAUGAAGGCAGGCAGCCCUGGCUCUAAUCCCCGGUCCAUAACUUUCUGGUGACUUCUCUGAGCCUCAGCUUCUUCAUUUGUAAACAGGCAGAAUCGCCGAGAAUGAAAUGGCAUAAGCCGGUGAAGGAAGGAUUUGACAGCUGUGUGUCCCACGCCUGCCCUCACCCCUCACUCUUUGCCCUCCCUUGCCCUCACUCGUCCCCCUGGAGCUGGCCAGACGCCAGCCCAAGGGAGGAGAGCUGGGCGUUCCUGGGGAGGCAGCGUCUGAGGAUUUCAGACCUUGCAAAGAGCAGGCUAACAGGUAACUUGGUGCCUGCUCUAACUCCUGCCAGCUCCUGCAAGAUCAUUCUAAACCCAAGAGCUGUGUCGCAGCAGGGCAUUGUGGCUGUCGGAGUCAAGGCAGUGGGGCCCUGCUCACCUGCCUUCGCACCACACCCAGGGAGAUGUGCUCCGCACCCUGGGAUGAAAGUGGACUCCUGGGACCUGGACUGCCCUCCUUGAGUCACCUGUGCAUUCGAGGGAGGAGUCUUUGUUCACCCCUCAUGCCCCCCCACCUGGCCUCCCUGGUGACCGGGGCAGCCUCAGGCCGCAGGUGGGGGUGGAAGCUGAGAGCUGCCAGGACUUGCUCAAGUGCAUGCCCUGGGGCACUCAGACCUACAGGAGCCAGCCAGGCCUGCAGUGUGAAAGGCCCCGGAAGUCCAGGCAGCCUGACUGGCCCACUGAUGGGUCACCAGAAACCUGGCCUGGCCCCACAGCCAGGCCCAGGACCAGCUGCCACGCAGAACUGCACAAUGGCAAGAUGAAAGCGUCCUGUGGCUGGGUUGCCCAACAACGUGAAUGUGCUUAAUGCUUAAUACGGAACGGCCCAUUUGAAAAUGGUUAAGAUGGAUGGGUGAUUUCACAGGUAUGAUUGCCUAAAACGAGGCUGAAGGGUCCAGACCCUCACGGGCAUCCAGGCAGGCCUCCGGCCGGCAGAGGAGCAGACUCUGCUUUGCCCUUCACCAGCACCGGGGCCACCUGCCCACUGACACUCCUUUCCUGAGAGAGGAGGGCAAGCUGGAAGGCCAGAGGAGUGACCUUGUGGUCACCUGUGGGACUCCUGCUGUGUGGAGAAGACGGCUGAGAUGCUGAAGGGCACUGUUUCAGUGCCAAAAGAGGGAUGUUUCCCAUGGAGUAUGGGAGCCCCAAGCCAGACCAGUUAGGUCCUGGUCUUGGGGGGUCUCAGCCACCUGGCCAGCCAUGCACUAUGUGUCCAGCCAGUGGGCCCCUCACCCGCCCUUCCAGCUCUCUGUGCCCGGCCAGUCAGCCAAGCCAGGGCAUAGCCCUCCCUACCCUGGGCCUGGUACAUGAAACUCCACAGGCCUUGGAAGUCAAAAUCAGCCCCUCUCCCCUGUAGCUUCUGCUGAGGCAGAGGUUUCCCUGGGCCCCUACUCUGUUCCGCUUCCUCAACCCACUGAGUAGAUGUGCCCGACACAGCCCGCCCAUCUGGCUUCCAUCCCUGACCCGCAGCAGGCCCCACUCCCAGAGCCACGUGAUGGCUGCGCCUGUGCCCAAGCGUUCAUCCCGCCCCACCCAGGAGAGACAGACAGGCUGGCACACAUCUCCCUGCCUGGCGCUGCCACUCCCCCGCCCCACCCUCCCCCAGUCCUACCAGGGCAGCAGCUCCCCUCCCACUUGCUCCACCUCCUCCGAGACCCGGGCUGCACACAGAUCCUCACUCAGUCCUCGGGGUCCUCCAAGUAUGCGUUUGUCACCCUUGGCAGGUCCAGUGGCAGGAUGGGCACAGGAUGGUGCAGUGUGGUCACCAGGGAGUUCAGGCCCUGGACCAGCCUCUUACUCUGCACACAGCUGCUAUCCCCAGGGUGCUUACCAGGCUGACGGGGACAAAGAGGGCACCAGAGGGGGCAAACACCACUCGUCAUUCCUGGGCUAGCGUACCCACAGGAGCCAGUGGGAAGGCCACACAGACCUACUGAAUAGCUUGUUGUAGGCUGAUCCUUCGGGAAGCAGAUGCUGAGCUGGAGUUCAGAGUGUGAGAGUUUACUGGGGGGAACAUCUGUGAAAGGAAAGGGGAGGAAGCAGGAUCGGGCAGAGGGCACCACCAGGUGAUACAGACCCAGUGGCCCUGCCCAGCACGGGCCUCCAGAUCUGCCUGUUGGAGGAUCCCUCAUUGGGCCGAAAAGGGCCUCAGACCACUGUGCCGGGCAGCCGUCCUCCUGAGGAGAGCACCAUCUCCAGCUAAAAGCUGCAAUGGACCCAGAAGGUGCUAACAGCUGGCCACCGUCAGGCAGCCACAGUCCUUGCAGCUGGGCAGUGAGUCCUUUCUUGCAGGGGGGUGUCACCUUGUCCCAGUCAGGCCGUGCUGUGUGCCCUUAGCAUGGAAGCAGGUCAAUGGUGGGGCCUCGGCCUCCUAGACUCUGCCUCCUGGCAGGAGGCGCUCGGCGUGGUGAAUGAGUGUGUGCAUGAACAGGUGUGUGAGCUCACUCUUCAAGCACUGGGUUUUAGUGUGAUUCUGGAAUGUGGCAUCAGAGGACCUGCACUUGCAUUGAGUCCUGGCUUUUAGGAGCUGUGUGACCUUUAACCUGUGCUAGACCUCAAUUACGUUAUUUGUGAAAUGAGGGUGAUGAUGCCUGUUGUGAGAUUUCGAUGCGGUGAGAACCCUGAAGCUCACUGUGGAGUGAACUCAGGUGUCUGCUGUGAUCUUUCUCCUGCAGGGCAGAAAAUGUCACCCUGUGUAAGGAAGGGGACAGGCAGAAAACAGGCCAGAAACGUUCACAGUCAACGUCUCUGGGCGAGUUUUUUUUUUUGUUUUAUUUUGAAAUAGUUUUAGACUUAGAGAAAAGUUGCAGAAAUAGUAGAGUUCACUUGUCCCCUUGACUCAGCCUCCUCCUGUGUUAACAUUGCCCAUAACCAUGGCCCAGGGAUGCCAACCGAGGAGUUAACAGCAGUACUAUACAUUGCAGACUUCAUUUGGGUUCCACCAAAACCCCUUUUCUGGUUCAGAAUCCAGCCCAGCACCCCGCAGGACAAUUAGCUGUCAUGUCUCCUUAGUCUUCUCCAGUCUCUGCCGCUCCUCAGUGUUCCCUCAUCUUUUGUGACCUCACGUUGUGAAGAGGACUGGCCAGGUACGUUUGCGCGAGGCUGGGCGGCGUGGGGAAGAGUACCACAAAGACAUGUGCCUUGUCAGUGCAGAGCAGGGGCCACAAGACAUCAGUAUAGCUCAUUACUAGUACCUGUGCCGAGACCCAACAACACUUUAAUUCCAUUUACCUCCUUACCAUUUAAUUCCACUUACUCCUCCUCUGAUUUCCAAGCUACUGUUGUUUAUUUAACCCCACAGACAUUAUUGUUUUCUCAUAAAAUCUUCAGCUAGAUUGACCCACAUGUUUACCAUGGUUUUUGUCCUUCCUCCUUCCCUGCAUCCAUGAUCUUUCAUCAUCUUCCUUCUUUGCAAAACAGCCUUUAGAAUUCCUAUAAAGUGAAACAGUCCGUUGGUGGCAUAUUCUCUUGGUUUUUGUCUGAAAAUGUCUUUCUUGCGUGUUUCUUCUUGAAGGAUAAUUGCACUGAGUAUAGAAUUCUAAGUACAUUGAAGCUGUUGUUUACCAUCUGCUGGCUUCCGUGUUUGCUCUUGAGUCGGAUGUGGUCUAAUUCUGUGAAAACGCCAGGUUUCGCUACAGUAUGGUGCAGUAACAAACAUCCCCUAAAUCUCCUUGGCUUGCAACAACAAAGGUUUAUUUCUAGCUUGCUUUCCGUGUCCUGUGUGGGUUGGCUGCAGCUCCUGCUGGUGGGGUGCUAGUCUCCUGACAGAGAGAAAAGAG